UUGGGGGUAUACGGAGGGGGCAAGCGUUGUUCGGAAUUAUUGGGCGUAAAGGGCAUGUAGGCGGUUCGGUAAGUUAAAGGUGAAAUGCCAGGGCUUAACCCUGGAGCUGCUUUUAAUACUGCCAGACUCGAGUCCGGAAGAGGAUAGCGGAAUUCCUAGUGUAGAGGUGAAAUUCGUAGAUAUUAGGAGGAACACCAGUGGCGAAGGCGGCUAUCUGGUCCGGUACUGACGCUGAGGUGCGAAAGCGUGGGGAGCAAACAGGAUUAAAUACCCUGGUAGUCCACGCUGUAAACGAUGAGUGCUGAAUGUGGGGACUUUUUCCCUCGGGGUUGAACCUACCGCGUUAACCCUCCCCCCGGGGAACUCCGGCCCCAAAAUUAAAAUUCAAGGGAUUUGACGGGACCCCCCCCAAGGGGGGAACCUUGGGUUUUAUUUCGAGGCACCGCAAAGACCCUUACCAUUCCUUGACUUGGAGAUUAAAUCUUUCUUAACAGAGGGCGCAUUUCGGUGGGAUUCGCACAGGUGCUGCAUGGGUGGUCUUCACCUCGGGUCGGAAAUGUUGGGUAAGUCCCGCAACAACCUAACCUUCUUCUUUAUUUGCCACGGUAUAGCCCGGCACUUUAAGGAGCUGCCAGUGGUAAACUGGAGGAAGUGGGGAUGAUGUCAAUCAGCACGCCCUUAUGGGGUGGCUACACCUGCUACAAUGGCGACCUACAUAGGUGCCACUGCCGCAGGCUGACUUAUCGUAAAAGCCCUCUCA
RNAcentral lists this ribosomal RNA (760 nucleotides) under uncultured Anaplasma sp. RNAcentral's name for it is "bacterial SSU rRNA". It matches the Rfam family "Bacterial small subunit ribosomal RNA", at positions 515 to 1290 of the family's 1533-position model. Lineage: Bacteria; Pseudomonadati; Pseudomonadota; Alphaproteobacteria; Rickettsiales; Anaplasmataceae. The record is from RNAcentral.